RNAcentral lists this ribosomal RNA (493 nucleotides) under uncultured bacterium. RNAcentral's name for it is "bacterial SSU rRNA". It matches the Rfam family "Bacterial small subunit ribosomal RNA", at positions 1 to 504 of the family's 1533-position model. The record is from RNAcentral.
CAGUCGACUAGAGUUUGAUCCUGGCUCAGGAUGAACGCUGGCGGCGCGCCUAACACAUGCAAGUCGAACGGUUAAAGCAUCUUCGGAUGUGCAUAAAGUGGCGAACGGCUGAGUAACACGUGGGCAACCUGCCCCUCGCAUCGGGACAGCCUCGGGAAACCGUGGUUAAUACCGGAUACUCCGCCACCCCGCAUGGGGAGGCGGGAAAGCCCAGACGGCGAGGGAUGGGCCCGCGGCCUGUUAGCUUGUUGGUGGGGCAGUGGCCCACCAAGGCGAUGAUGGGUAGCCGGGUUGAGAGACCGACCGGCCAGAUUGGGACUGAGACACGGCCCAGACUCCUACGGGAGGCAGCAGUGGGGAAUCUUGCACAAUGGGCGAAAGCCUGAUGCAGCGACGCCGCGUGCGGGACGAAGGCCUUCGGGUCGUAAACCGCUUUCAGCAGGGACGAGGCCGCAGGGUGACGGUACCUGCAGAAGAAGCCCCGGCUAACUAC